GACGAACGCUGGCGGCGUGCUUAACACAUGCAAGUCGAACGCUGAACCCGCUUCGGUGGGGGAUGAGUGGCGAACGGGUGAGUAACACGUGGGCAACCUGCCCCCGGCUCUGGGAUAACUCCAAGAAAUUGGGGCUAAUACCGGAUGUGACCGCUGGCCGCAUGGUCUGGUGGUGGAAAGGGUUUCCGGCUGGGGAUGGGCCCGCGGCCUAUCAGCUUGUUGGUGGGGUAGUGGCCUACCAAGGCGACGACGGGUAGCCGGCCUGAGAGGGUGACCGGCCCCACUGGGAGUGAGAACCGGCCCAGACUCCCACGGGGGGCAGGAGGGGGGAAUAUUGCGCAAGGGGGGGAGGCAGGACGCGGCGGCGCCGGGGGGGGGAAGACGGCCUUGGGGUUGUAAACCUCUUUCGGCAGGGACGAAGCGCAAGUGACGGUACCUGCAGAAGAAGCACCGGCCAACUACGU
RNAcentral lists this ribosomal RNA (464 nucleotides) under uncultured bacterium. Its description in RNAcentral is "partial 16S ribosomal RNA". It matches the Rfam family "Bacterial small subunit ribosomal RNA", at positions 28 to 506 of the family's 1533-position model. The record is from RNAcentral.